AGAUUGAACGCUGGCGGCAGGCCUAACACAUGCAAGUCGAGCGGAAACAGAGAGUAACUUGUUACUUUGCUGUCGAGCGGCGGACGGGUGAGUAAUGCUUGGGAAACUGCCCAGUCGAGGGGGACAACCAUUGGAAACGAUGGCUAAUACCGCAUACGCCCUACGGGGGAAAGAAGGGGACUCUUCGGAGCCUUUCGCGAUUGGAUGUGCCCAAGUGGGAUUAGCUAGUUGGUGAGGUAAAGGCUCACCAAGGCAACGAUCCCUAGCUGGUUUGAGAGGAUGAUCAGCCACACUGGAACUGAGACACGGUCCAGACUCCUACGGGAGGCAGCAGUGGGGAAUAUUGCACAAUGGGCGCAAGCCUGAUGCAGCCAUGCCGCGUGUAUGAAGAAGGCCUUCGGGUUGUAAAGUACUUUCAGCGAGGAGGAAAGGUUAGGUGUUAAUAGCACGUAGCUGUGACGUUACUCGCAGAAGAAGGACCGGCUAACUCCGUGCCAGCAGCCGCGGUAAUACGGAGGGUCCGAGCGUUAAUCGGAAUUACUGGGCGUAAAGCGUACGCAGGCGGUUUGUUAAGCGAGAUGUGAAAGCCCCGGGCUCAACCUGGGAACUGCAUUUCGAACUGACAAACUAGAGUUUUGUAGAGGGUGGUAGAAUUUCAGGUGUAGCGGUGAAAUGCGUAGAGAUCUGAAGGAAUACCAGUGGCGAAGGCGGCCACCUGGACAAUAACUGACGCUCAUGUACGAAAGCGUGGGGAGCAAACGGGAUUAGAUACCCCGGUAGUCCACGCCGUAAACGAUGUCAACUAGCCGACUGGCGCCUUGAGCGCUGGGUGGCGCAGCUAACGCAUUAAGUUGACCGCCUGGGGAGUACGGCCGCAAGGUUA
This 883-nucleotide ribosomal RNA is filed under the name uncultured bacterium. Its description in RNAcentral is "bacterial SSU rRNA". It matches the Rfam family "Bacterial small subunit ribosomal RNA", at positions 26 to 896 of the family's 1533-position model. The record is from RNAcentral.